GGGGUAAACCUGCGAAACUCGAAUGAACGAACGGGGAGAUUCAUCGUCAUCCGGCGGGCGGCUAGAUCGUCGCGCGAUGGUUGGCCCUCCGGCGAUUUCGGUCGUCGGUGCGAGUCGAUCACGCGCUCGGUCUACGCAUCACGUUCGUCGGCGGCGUGCACUUCUCCCUUAGUACUGCAUCGCGACCCGCUCGAUGUCGGCCUAAGCGUCGUCCGGAAGCCCUCGGCGUCUCUGCGCGCCCAGGACCGCGACGAAUGCCGGCCGGCUGUCGGGCGGUAGUUGACAUGAAACACGCACGCGCUUGUCGCGUCCGGCCCGACGCAAGGUCGUCGCGAUGCCGCCGUGUCGCCUAUAUUGUGCGGGCGGUGUGCGUCCGGCGCCUGCUUAUCGCAGCCGUGUCGUCUCGGACGUGCGUGUAUCGAGUCUGCGAUGUUUUUGUUUCGGGCACUCGCAGGACCCGUCUUGAAACACGGACCAAGGAGUCUAGCAUGUGUGCGAGUCACUAGGUGUUAUACUAAACCGAAGGGCGCAACGAAAGUGAAGGCGUGCGCUUGUCGCGCGCUCGGGGAGGAUGGCGGUGCGCUAACAAGGCCACCGCUCGCACUCCCGAGGCGUCCCGUUCGCAAUUUGUCGAUGUGGGCGCGCUCAGAGCACAGAUGCUGGGACCCGAAAGAUGGUGAACUAUGCCUGGUCAGGUCGAAGUCAGGGGAAACCCUGAUGGAGGACCGUAGCGAUUCUGACGUGCAAAUCGAUCGUCGGAACUGGGUAUAGGGGCGAAAGACUAAUCAACCWUC
RNAcentral lists this ribosomal RNA (794 nucleotides) under Fomoria sp. ScolopiaQueensland. RNAcentral describes it as "eukaryotic LSU rRNA". It matches the Rfam family "Eukaryotic large subunit ribosomal RNA", at positions 412 to 944 of the family's 3401-position model. Lineage: Eukaryota; Metazoa; Arthropoda; Insecta; Lepidoptera; Nepticulidae. The record is from RNAcentral.